AAAACGACUCUCGGCAACGGAUAUCUCGGCUCUCGCAUCGAUGAAGAACGUAGCAAACUGCGAUACUUGGUGUGAAUUGCAGAAUCCCGUGAACCAUCGAGUCUUUGAACGCAAGUUGCGCCCGAAGCCAUUUGGCCGAGGGCACGUCUGCCUGGGCGUCUAGU
RNAcentral lists this ribosomal RNA (164 nucleotides) under Strychnos mostueoides. Its description in RNAcentral is "5.8S ribosomal RNA". It matches the Rfam family "5.8S ribosomal RNA". From Rfam's summary of the family: 5.8S ribosomal RNA (5.8S rRNA) is a component of the large subunit of the eukaryotic ribosome. It is transcribed by RNA polymerase I as part of the 45S precursor that also contains 18S and 28S rRNA. Lineage: Eukaryota; Viridiplantae; Streptophyta; Magnoliopsida; Gentianales; Loganiaceae. The record is from RNAcentral.